This 30-nucleotide non-coding RNA is filed under the name Rattus norvegicus (Norway rat). The record is from RNAcentral. Lineage: Eukaryota; Metazoa; Chordata; Mammalia; Rodentia; Muridae.
UGGGCAGAUAGGACACAGUAGUGCAUUGGC